Molecule: long non-coding RNA, 816 nt
Organism: Cryptotermes secundus
Lineage: Eukaryota; Metazoa; Arthropoda; Insecta; Blattodea; Kalotermitidae
Exons: 2
Source: RefSeq, a predicted model, not a curated record
GUAUCGCCACGUCUUGUAUAGCCAUCUAGUGGUAAUCGGUGGUAAUACAACGGUUGGAGGUGAAUUGCAGAUUGUUCAGUCGAUGAGUGGAAGAAGAGGUUGAGAUCGUUGAGAUGAUUGAGAUGUAGGUUCAAUAUAACGUAAUUCUGUAUGCUUCACGGAUCAGCACAGACCGUAUAUGAUUACCAGUCAUGUUCAUGUGCUCCAUAAGUCCUUAAGUUAGUAUGGAAGUAUGGAACAUAGUCGUCGUGAAUUGAUGUUCAUGCUGGCCAUGUAAAAAAAAACUAUAAUUGUCAGCGAAUUUUAUUUAUUUUACUUCUUCAGUCACCAUUUUCAGAGAGCAUUUUAAAUGUCACAUACAAUCAUAUGAUAAAAUACUUCUAGCGUCCUUGCGAUUGCUAUUUGUUGAUGUCAUUGCUUGAAGCCGACGUUACCGAUUGGAUACUUGUUUUUACAAGAUUAUGAACAUGAGAAAUUUUAGCAGGAGCGAAGUUGAAAAAUAUUACAUAACGACAGUUUUGUCUAAUACCAGCUGAGCUACAACGGUCAGCUUCGCUGCAGCAUUCAUCAUCCUACUCGAAAUUCUUACUGAGUGACCAGCUGUGCCAAUUUGGAACCAAAGCCAACAUUUCAGACAUCUGGUCUGCCCCCAUCAUCAGGGAAUAAAUGCCCAAAAAGACUUCAUCAAUUUUAAUCACAGACCUUGAAGAAAUAUCUGUGGUGUUAUGGGAAACAGACUUAGGUGAAAAACUAGUCAAGAUAAAUGCACCACAAAAUUUUCCUUAUUAAUGUCACUAAGCACAAUACUUUCCAUUU